This is a non-coding RNA of Stegodyphus mimosarum, 46 nucleotides long. The record is from Rfam. NCBI's taxonomy places the organism in Eukaryota, Metazoa, Arthropoda, Arachnida, Araneae, Eresidae.
GAAAAGGUCCUUUUCAGGGCCAUACAAUAUUUCAAAAAGGUGAAAA